RNAcentral lists this ribosomal RNA (253 nucleotides) under uncultured bacterium. Its description in RNAcentral is "partial 16S ribosomal RNA". It matches the Rfam family "Bacterial small subunit ribosomal RNA", at positions 524 to 776 of the family's 1533-position model. The record is from RNAcentral.
UACGUAGGUGGCAAGCGUUAUCCGGAUUUAUUGGGCGUAAAGGGAACGCAGGCGGUCUUUUAAGUCUGAUGUGAAAGCCUUCGGCUUAACCGGAGUAGUGCAUUGGAAACUGGGAGACUUGAGUGCAGAAGAGGAGAGUGGAACUCCAUGUGUAGCGGUGAAAUGCGUAAAUAUAUGGAAGGACACCAGUGGCGAAAGCGGCUCUCUGGUCUGUAACUGACGCUGAGGUUCGAAAGCGUGGGUAGCAAACAGG